RNAcentral lists this ribosomal RNA (467 nucleotides) under uncultured bacterium. RNAcentral's name for it is "partial 16S ribosomal RNA". It matches the Rfam family "Bacterial small subunit ribosomal RNA", at positions 355 to 811 of the family's 1533-position model. The record is from RNAcentral.
UGGGGAAUUUUUGGACAAUGGGCGCAAGCCUGAUCCAGCCAUGCCGCGUGCGGGAAGAAGGCCUUCGGGUUGUAAACCGCUUUUGUCAGGGAAGAAAUCUUCUGAGUUAAUACCUCGGGAGGAUGACGGUACCUGAAGAAUAAGCACCGGCUAACUACGUGCCAGCAGCCGCGGUAAUACGUAGGGUGCAAGCGUUAAUCGGAAUUACUGAGCGUAAAGCGUGCGCAGGCGGUUUUUGUAAGACAGAGGUGAAAUCCCCGGGCUCAACCUGGGGACUGCCUUUGUGACUGCAAGGCUUGAGUGCGGCAGAGGGGGAUGGAAUUCCGCGUGUAGCAGUGAAAUGCGUAGAUAUGCGGAGGAACACCGAUGGCGAAGGCAAUCCCCUGGGCCUGCACUGACGCUCAUGCACGAAAGCGUGGGGAGCAAACAGGAUUAGAUACCCUGGUAGUCCACGCCCUAAAACGAUG